This 55-nucleotide small nuclear RNA is filed under the name Microcebus murinus (gray mouse lemur). RNAcentral's name for it is "U7 small nuclear RNA (ENSMICG00000025668.3)". It matches the Rfam family "U7 small nuclear RNA". From Rfam's summary of the family: Animal histone pre-mRNAs are spliced by a different mechanism than nuclear pre-mRNAs and self-splicing introns. This processing involves the U7 snRNP, which contains only one RNA species: U7. The 5' end of U7 RNA is thought to base-pair to a conserved spacer element downstream of the cleavage site in histone pre-mRNA. Lineage: Eukaryota; Metazoa; Chordata; Mammalia; Primates; Cheirogaleidae. The record is from Rfam by way of RNAcentral.
AAAUGUUACAGCAUUUUUAGAAUUAGUCUAGCAGGUCCGCACUGGAAGGGCCAUA